RNAcentral lists this ribosomal RNA (2075 nucleotides) under fermentation metagenome. RNAcentral's name for it is "bacterial LSU rRNA". It matches the Rfam family "Bacterial large subunit ribosomal RNA", at positions 436 to 2539 of the family's 2925-position model. The record is from RNAcentral.
GUGGGAAGCAGGGAGGACCACCUCCCAAGGCUAAAUACUAACUGGUGACCGAUAGCGAAUAGUACCGUGAGGGAAAGGCGAAAAGAACCCCAGAAGGGGAGUGAAAUAGAACCUGAAACCGUGUGCUUACAAGCAGUCGGAGCUCGUUAAGGAGUGACGGCGUGCUUUUUGUAGAACGAGCCAGCGAGUUACGGUAUGCAGCGAGGUUAAGCACUUAAGGUGCGAAGCCGGAGGGAAACCGAGUCUGAAAAGGGCGCUAAGUUGUAUGCUGUAGACCCGAAACCGGGUGACCUAUCCAUGGACAGGAUGAAGUUGAGGUAAAACUCAAUGGAGGUCCGAACUAAAUUGGUGUUGAAAAACCAUGAGAUGAUCUGUGGAUAGCGGAGAAAUUCCAAUCGAACUCGGAGAUAGCUGGUUCUCCCCGAAAUAGCUUUAGGGCUAGCCUUGGAUGAUGAGCUUUGGAGGUAGAGCACUGAAUGGACUAGGGGCUGUAUAAGCUACCAAACCCUAUCAAACUCCGAAUGCCAAAGUUUUAAUCCAGGAGUCAGACUACGAGUGAUAAGAUCCGUGGUCAAAAGGGAAACAGCCCAGACCAUCAGCUAAGGUCCCAAAAUGCAGAUUAAGUGGUAAAGGAGGUGAGAUCUCAAAGACAACCAGGAUGUUGGCUUAGAAGCAGCCAUACAUUCAAAGAGUGCGUAAUAGCUCACUGGUCGAGAGGUCUUGCACCGAAGAUGUCCGGGGCUCAAAUCUGCUACCGAAGCUAUGGAUGUACGAAAGUACGUGGUAGGGGAGCAUCGUAUACGGAGCGAAGCCAUAUCGUAAGGAGUGGUGGACUGUAUACGAGAGAGAAUGCUGGCAUAAGUAACGAAAGAUAGGUGAGAAUCCUAUCCAUCGAAAACCUAAGGUUUCCUGAGGAAGGUUCGUCCACUCAGGGUUAGUCGGGACCUAAGUCGAGGCCGAAAGGCGUAGAUGAUGGACAAUCGGUUGAAAUUCCGAUACCACCUUUAAGCGUUUAAGAAAAGGGGUGACGCAGGAGGAUAAGCUGAGCGCACGGAUGGAAAAGUGCGUCUAAGAACUAAGUCAGACCUUCAAGGAAAAUCCGGGAGGUGACGAUAAGGUUUAAUGGGGAGCCGCAAGGCGAAGCAGCUGAAUUCACACUGCCAAGAAAAGCCUCUAUCGAGCAAGAAGGUGCCCGUACCGCAAACCGACACAGGUAGGUGAGGAGAGAAUCCUAAGAUGAGCGAGAGAACCCUUGUUAAGGAACUCGGCAAAUUAACCCCGUAACUUCGGGAGAAGGGGUACUCAAAAGAGUCGCAGUUAAAAGGCCCAAGCAACUGUUUAGCAAAAACACAGGUCUCUGCUAAGUCGCAAGACGAUGUAUAGGGGCUGACGCCUGCCCGGUGCUGGAAGGUUAAGGGGAGAGGUUAGCGAAAGCGAAGCUUUAAACUUAAGCCCCAGUAAACGGCGGCCGUAACUAUAACGGUCCUAAGGUAGCGAAAUUCCUUGUCGGGUAAGUUCCGACCCGCACGAAUGGCGUAAUGACUUGGGCACUGUCUCAACAAGGGACUCGGUGAAAUUGUAGUACCGGUGAAGAUGCCGGUUACCCGCGAUUAGACGGAAAGACCCCGUAGAGCUUUACUGUAGCUUAUCAUUGAGUUUCGGUAUUGUCUGUACAGGAUAGGUGGGAGGCUUAGAAGUAGGGGCGUCAGCUUCUAUGGAGCCAACGUUGGGAUACCACCCUGACAGUACUGAAACUCUAACCGGAGGCUUUGAAACAAGUCACGGGACAUUGUUAGGUGGGCAGUUUGACUGGGGCGGUCGCCUCCUAAAAAGUAACGGAGGCGCCCAAAGGUUCCCUCAGCGCGGUUGGAAAUCGCGCGCAGAGUGCAAAGGCAGAAGGGAGCCUGACUGCGAGACAAACAAGUCGAGCAGAGACGAAAGUCGGGCUUAGUGAUCCGGUGGUUCCGAGUGGAAGGGCCAUCGCUCAACGGAUAAAAGCUACCUCGGGGAUAACAGGCUGAUCUCCCCCAAGAGUCCACAUCGACGGGGAGGUUUGGCACCUCGAUGUCGGCUCG